RNAcentral lists this ribosomal RNA (253 nucleotides) under uncultured bacterium. RNAcentral's name for it is "partial 16S ribosomal RNA". It matches the Rfam family "Bacterial small subunit ribosomal RNA", at positions 524 to 776 of the family's 1533-position model. The record is from RNAcentral.
UACAUGUGGGGCAAGCGUUGUUCGGAAUUACUGGGCAUAAAGGGUGCGUAGGCGGUUUGUUAGGUCACUGGUGAAAGUUUUCGGCCCAACCGGAAAAUUGCCUGUGAUACCGGCGAACUUGAGUGCGUGAGGGGUGGGGGGAACGAGCAGUGUAGCGGUGAAAUGCGUAGAUAUCAUUUGGAACGCCAAUGGUGAAAACAGCUCGCUGGGAAUGAUCUGACACUGAGACGCGAAAGCCAGGGGAGCGAACGGG